RNAcentral lists this ribosomal RNA (1427 nucleotides) under Escherichia coli. Its description in RNAcentral is "partial 23S ribosomal RNA". It matches the Rfam family "Bacterial large subunit ribosomal RNA", at positions 419 to 1832 of the family's 2925-position model. Lineage: Bacteria; Pseudomonadati; Pseudomonadota; Gammaproteobacteria; Enterobacterales; Enterobacteriaceae. The record is from RNAcentral.
GGGACACGUGGUAUCCUGUCUGAAUAUGGGGGGACCAUCCUCCAAGGCUAAAUACUCCUGACUGACCGAUAGUGAACCAGUACCGUGAGGGAAAGGCGAAAAGAACCCCGGCGAGGGGAGUGAAAAAGAACCUGAAACCGUGUACGUACAAGCAGUGGGAGCACGCUUAGGCGUGUGACUGCGUACCUUUUGUAUAAUGGGUCAGCGACUUAUAUUCUGUAGCAAGGUUAACCGAAUAGGGGAGCCGAAGGGAAACCGAGUCUUAACUGGGCGUUAAGUUGCAGGGUAUAGACCCGAAACCCGGUGAUCUAGCCAUGGGCAGGUUGAAGGUUGGGUAACACUAACUGGAGGACCGAACCGACUAAUGUUGAAAAAUUAGCGGAUGACUUGUGGCUGGGGGUGAAAGGCCAAUCAAACCGGGAGAUAGCUGGUUCUCCCCGAAAGCUAUUUAGGUAGCGCCUCGUGAAUUCAUCUCCGGGGGUAGAGCACUGUUUCGGCAAGGGGGUCAUCCCGACUUACCAACCCGAUGCAAACUGCGAAUACCGGAGAAUGUUAUCACGGGAGACACACGGCGGGUGCUAACGUCCGUCGUGAAGAGGGAAACAACCCAGACCGCCAGCUAAGGUCCCAAAGUCAUGGUUAAGUGGGAAACGAUGUGGGAAGGCCCAGACAGCCAGGAUGUUGGCUUAGAAGCAGCCAUCAUUUAAAGAAAGCGUAAUAGCUCACUGGUCGAGUCGGCCUGCGCGGAAGAUGUAACGGGGCUAAACCAUGCACCGAAGCUGCGGCAGCGACACUAUGUGUUGUUGGGUAGGGGAGCGUUCUGUAAGCCUGUGAAGGUGUGCUGUGAGGCAUGCUGGAGGUAUCAGAAGUGCGAAUGCUGACAUAAGUAACGAUAAAGCGGGUGAAAAGCCCGCUCGCCGGAAGACCAAGGGUUCCUGUCCAACGUUAAUCGGGGCAGGGUGAGUCGACCCCUAAGGCGAGGCCGAAAGGCGUAGUCGAUGGGAAACAGGUUAAUAUUCCUGUACUUGGUGUUACUGCGAAGGGGGGACGGAGAAGGCUAUGUUGGCCGGGCGACGGUUGUCCCGGUUUAAGCGUGUAGGCUGGUUUUCCAGGCAAAUCCGGAAAAUCAAGGCUGAGGCGUGAUGACGAGGCACUACGGUGCUGAAGCAACAAAUGCCCUGCUUCCAGGAAAAGCCUCUAAGCAUCAGGUAACAUCAAAUCGUACCCCAAACCGACACAGGUGGUCAGGUAGAGAAUACCAAGGCGCUUGAGAGAACUCGGGUGAAGGAACUAGGCAAAAUGGUGCCGUAACUUCGGGAGAAGGCACGCUGAUAUGUAGGUGAAGUCCCUCGCGGAUGGAGCUGAAAUCAGUCGAAGAUACCAGCUGGCUGCAACUGUUUAUUAAAAACACAGCACUGUGCAAACAC